UACGUAGGGUGCGAGCGUUGUCCGGAAUUAUUGGGCGUAAAGGGCUCGUAGGCGGUUUGUCGCGUCGGGAGUGAAAACCUCGGGCUUAACUCGGGGCUUGCUUUCGAUACGGGCAGACUGGAGGUAUGCAGGGGAGAACGGAAUUCCUGGUGUAGCGGUGAAAUGCGCAGAUAUCAGGAGGAACACCGGUGGCGAAGGCGGAUCUCUGGGCCUUACCUGACGCUGAGGCGCGAAAGCUAGGGGAGCGAACAGG
RNAcentral lists this ribosomal RNA (253 nucleotides) under uncultured bacterium. Its description in RNAcentral is "partial 16S ribosomal RNA". It matches the Rfam family "Bacterial small subunit ribosomal RNA", at positions 524 to 776 of the family's 1533-position model. The record is from RNAcentral.